CUGCCGCGGACAUGAUGGGCCCGGGGCGCAGCGCGCGCGCGGCGCCCGAUAGGUGGCAGCCGAGAGCGAGGCCCCGGGGCUCCAGAGGCGCCGCCGAGCCCCCUAGGCUGUCAGUCUAGGAGACAGAGGAGUCUAGGACCACGUGCGUAACGCGAGCGUGGGAGUGUGCGGUGCUCGUGUUGGAGAAGGGAGGAAUGGAAAUAACCCCGACAGCGCCAGGCUUGGCGGUGGUCAGGGACAGAUGACUGCAGCCCUGCGCUGCUCGCCGGCUCUUCUGCCGUUUAGCGCAAUAGAGCCCUUGCUGCGGUCUCCCUACCUACCCUAAAGGAUCCUGGAAGAGGGAGUGGUUCGUCCGAGCUGUAGAGAGGGAGCUACUUUUAUUUUUAAGAAUUACGUUUGUAUAAGUACGAUCGGGCAGUUCAAGGGAGGGCGAACGACUUGCAGGAAAAAAAAAAUGUGAAUGCAUUUGGUAUGAGCUAAAAGCUGGAAAAGCCCCAAAUAGAGGCAGUAUGGAUAGAAAGCAAGUUUGUUGAAGAGUCACCUGCUAAACUUCACUAGCGUCGUCUCUACAAGUGAUCUGUGCUGUCUGGGCCUGCCUUGCAGUUGAACCUGGAUUUGAAACUGACAACUAUGAACGAAUAGGAAAAUGUUGCAGCAGGAGCUGCCACGUCUGAAGAAAAUUCAAAGAAAGGUCUAUUCGGGCAGUGGUGGCUUUUCAUGGAUUUACUGAACCAACGAAGGACCCACUUCCAAGAGGGCUGUUAUGCUUUCCAUGGAUUUAUAAGAAAUGCCUGCCUGUGUGACUGUGCCAAAGUAAACUUGGGAUUUCUCGCUACCGGAAACAUUCCGGAGGAUGAGGCUCUGCAAGUCCGGAAGUAAGGAGAAAAGAUGGAGCAGACAAUGCUCACUGCUGGCCAUUAGAUGAAAGACAAAUGGUGAUACAUAAGUGCAAGACAAAGAAAUGAGAAGGUUGAAUUGAAUCAGGCAAGUACAAUUAUGAAUUUAUGGAUUUCUAAGAUGUAACAUAUAUAUAUAUGUGUGUGUGCAGG
This 1049-nucleotide long non-coding RNA is filed under the name Chinchilla lanigera (long-tailed chinchilla). Its description in RNAcentral is "lncRNA (ENSCLAG00000024574.1)". Lineage: Eukaryota; Metazoa; Chordata; Mammalia; Rodentia; Chinchillidae. The record is from RNAcentral.